This 497-nucleotide ribosomal RNA is filed under the name uncultured bacterium. RNAcentral describes it as "partial 16S ribosomal RNA". It matches the Rfam family "Bacterial small subunit ribosomal RNA", at positions 28 to 507 of the family's 1533-position model. The record is from RNAcentral.
GAUGAACGCUGGCGGCGUGCCUAAUACAUGCAAGUCGAGCGAACAGACGAGGAGCUUGCUCCUUUGACGUUAGCGGCGGACGGGUGAGUAACACGUAGGUAACCUACCUAUAAGACUGGGAUAACUUCGGGAAACCGGAGCUAAUACCGGAUAAUAUUUCGAACCGCAUGGUUCGAUAGUGAAAGAUGGCUUUGCUAUCACUUAUAGAUGGACCUGCGCCGUAUUAGCUAGUUGGUAAGGUAACGGCUUACCAAGGCAACGAUACGUAGCCGACCUGAGAGGGUGAUCGGCCACACUGGAACUGAGACACGGUCCAGACUCCUACGGGAGGCAGCAGUAGGGAAUCUGCCGCAAUGGGCGAAAACCUGACGGAGCAACGCCGCGUGAGUGAUGAAGGUCUUCGGAUCGUAAAACUCUGUUAUUAGGGAAAAACAAACGUGUAAGUAACUGUGCACGUCUUGACGGUACCUAAUCAGAAAGCCACGGCUAACUACGUG